RNAcentral lists this long non-coding RNA (276 nucleotides) under Olea europaea (common olive). RNAcentral's name for it is "long non-coding RNA (OEUR_LNC006521)". The record is from RNAcentral. Lineage: Eukaryota; Viridiplantae; Streptophyta; Magnoliopsida; Lamiales; Oleaceae.
AUCAGUAGUCCUACUGUGCGCUCAAAACAAAACAAGAAGCAAUGGCAAGUUCAAGAAAAACUGUGUUCUGUGGAAGCCACCAAAGUCACAAGAAGGUCCUCAGUGAUGAUGCCAUUGAGUUGGACAAUGAAUUGGUGGGUUCCUAUUAGUUAAUCUUUGAUUAUUUUGAUCUUGAUUUAACAGCAGUUGAUAAUAAUGCUUUAUUGUUUUGUGUUUUAAUGUCAAAACAAUGACUUCUGUGUUUUGCUUAUGGGACUCUCGUGUUUUGACUUUGUG